Pseudophryne corroboree (corroboree frog) is the source of this 1641-nucleotide RNA transcript. It is a transcript of the gene named zinc finger protein 618-like, with no coding region annotated. The transcript is spliced from 5 exons. The record is from RefSeq and is a predicted model, not a curated record. Lineage: Eukaryota; Metazoa; Chordata; Amphibia; Anura; Myobatrachidae.
AUGGCAAUCAUAAGUUAAGAGGAAAGUCCAGAAACAGAGCAUUUUGUCCCUCCUGGAGAGGGUCAUGUUGGAAGAUGACACAGCUGCUGUAGGCAUUUCGAUUUGUAUGAUUGUGGAGCAUCUCCCAUUUGAAUUAAAGUCAGCUUGGCCCAUAAUAAGAGGUGGCAUCCACACAAAUCCGUUUCACUUGGAUCAAUUAUUGAGAAAGGUUCUGUGGAACCGAAACGCGUUGUUUUUGGACUGAGGAGAAGCACAUGUGAACUGGAAGUGAAUCCAUGCUGAUAAUUCUUCUGCGGUGGUGCUAGGCUAAUUCAGCCCAGGACCACACCAGCUUAUUCUAUAAGCUAGCCCACCGCACCACAGUAAAAGGGGGGAUCAUCUUAGCCAACGCAGUCUGUCGUCAGUUACCAACACGUCUGGCCCAUAUCUAGCGAAGGGUCAGUGGUCCUUAUACUGACAAAUUAUCUAGCAGCCAUAAGAGUUGGGCCGACUUCAAAUCCCGCCUGAAGGGCAAGAGGUCUGCGGAGUGGAAUGCCUCGAGGGCUACAGGGGCGGACCAGCUGUCGCUGUGAAGUAUACCGAGUUGGAGGAGAUGGCGAUGGACUGUGUCAGUUAUGAGGAGGGGACAGGGGUGUCUUAUAUGGACACGGACCUGCCUGAAAUACUGACGGCACAUGACUUGCCAGCACAGGGGGGUAAGCAAGUAGAGUCACAGGAGGGUUAUGUGGCUGAGGCUGAGGUGGAGGGACCUAGUGUGUCUGGCAGUGUAGGACCCCAAAUCCCACCUAUCCAGGUUCCAACUGGCCCCCCCACCCAACCCUCUGCUAUCCUGGAGAUCUUGCUUGAAAUAGCUAGGUAUGGUGAGAGCCUAAAUGCUUUUCAGGACGGGGUUAUCCGGGAGGUAAGCCAGAUAGCUGUCCGGCUCACUGAGCACCGAACCAGUGUUGAGCAAGGUGUUGCGCAACUCUGCCAAGGUCUGGCAGAGAUCAGGCAGGGACAAGAUCAACUUUCCUCCUCAUUCCAAAACCUUGCAAAUAACAUCUUGCAAGGGCUCCAGGCCAUCGCUGUAUCCCUUGCCCACAGUGGCAGAGAGCCAGCCACAUCGGCUCCCACCCCUGCCCCUGCCCAGGAAGAACAUCCCACUGGGCAGGGCCCACGAAGGUUGCUCCGCAGACCAAGCCAAGAAGAACAGCAUCAGGCGGGGAAAAAAAAAGAAAGUGAUGUCUCUCCAGAUGGGCAGCACCCAUGUUUUUCAUGUUGUCUCUAUGUUUUUUUUUGUGUUGGCUUGUGUGGCCAGAAUGGCUAACUCCCUCUUAGUGAAAUUUAUUAUUUUUGUUUUGAUAUAUUGCAGCCUGUGAGCUUUUUUUUCCUGUACACCAGAGCCAUCUUCCUCUUCCUAGUGUGCUGUGUAUUGUUGUGUUUGUGUGGUGGCUCCUGAAUCUUUCUCAGUUCCCCAAAUAUAUUUGUCUGGCAGGGUGUUUACACCAUAUUUAUUUGCAUUUAAAUUAUUAUUUUGUCAGAAGCUGGAGUUUCCCUAGUACUGAGUUCUGCUAUGUCAUUUGUGUCAGUGGCAUCUGCUUGCUGCUUGGUCCAUCUUUGCCUGUGAUACUCACAUGUAGCCAUGUUGUUUUGAUCACUAAA